This 473-nucleotide ribosomal RNA is filed under the name uncultured bacterium. Its description in RNAcentral is "bacterial SSU rRNA". It matches the Rfam family "Bacterial small subunit ribosomal RNA", at positions 328 to 793 of the family's 1533-position model. The record is from RNAcentral.
GACGACGACUCCUACGGGAGGCAGCAGUGGGGAAUAUUGCACAAUGGGGGAAACCCUGAUGCAGCCAUGCCGCGUGUGUGAAGAAGGCCUUCGGGUUGUAAAGCACUUUCAGUAGGGAGGAAGGUAGUGUAGUUAACACCUGCAUUAUUUGACGUUACCUACAGAAGAAGCACCGGCUAACUCCGUGCCAGCAGCCGCGGUAAUACGGAGGGUGCGAGCGUUAAUCGGAAUUACUGGGCGUAAAGCGCAUGCAGGCGGCCUGUUAAGUCAGAUGUGAAAGCCCCGGGGCUUAACCUCGGAAUUGCAUUUGAAACUGGCAGGCUAGAGUCUUGUAGAGGGGGUAGAAUUUCAGGUGUAGCGGUGAAAUGCGUAGAGAUCUGAAGGAAUACCAGUGGCGAAGGCGGCCCCCUGGACAAAGACUGACGCUCAGAUGCGAAAGCGUGGGGAGCAAACAGGAUUAGAUACCCUGGGAG